UUCAUUAUAUCAUCUGCUUUGGUUUUGCUACCUAUGAACUCCUUCUGUCCAUUGUCAUUUUCAGUAUGUCCCGUGAAGUAACGGAUCAUUAAGGUGACUAGAACAAGAAAAGCCACUAACAGACCUACGUUCCCGAUAUAUUUGGUAAGCUUAUUUAACCGAUGCUGUAGUGGCGUUUGCUCAUUCUUGUCAUCUGUUAUUGUGCACAUUAUCUGACCCCAUGCAUUGUUUAUACCUACCGACGUGACAAGCAUGUGUCCAUAUCCGUCCAUUACCUUUGUUCCACCCACCAAAAAGGGGUUUUGUGUCUCGUUAAUUUGAACAUGGUCACUUUCACCUGCAGAAGUAAAUCCAAAAUAUACAUUUAGGGGGUCCUUUGGUAGAGUGCAUUAGUUAAAAUAAUGCACACAUUAGCUUUAUGUAUUACUAAUACCUUGUUUGGUACGAUUACUCAACCUAUGUAUAACUAUAAUAUAUACAUGGAAAAUCAUGUUAUUAGCAACGCAAAGGGUUCUAAUAUGCAUUAGCAUGUUUAAAGAUGCAAUUGACCCUCAAAACCUUUUCCAAGUCCUUUCCACCGUAUUUGUGGUGGAUAUUUUUGUAAACAAAUAAUUUGUUUUUGGAAAUUAUGCAACACAUUAUUUUUAAUAGACCAAAUCAAACUCUGCAUAAGAAAUAACCUCAGCAUAACCCAUAAUAGCAUUACUAAUGUGCCGUAUGCGCCUUCUGUGUUCUUUAUUAUAUAGGUUCAAUACUUAAUAUUUAUCUUACUUUUUUUUUUUUUUUACAUUAAUAUCUAUUGUUUAUACUGAGAGUGACAUUUUCAAUUAUAUUCAUUCCCUAGACUAGGUCUGCCUAUAUUCACCUGUCAUGCAGGACUCGUCUACUUGCAGCGAAUGGCCAUCCAAGAAGAGUCCAUCUGCUGGGAUCUGAUCGCCGAUUUUGAGACAGACAACAUCACCCACAACAAUAUCAUAGAUAGAUACUUCCUGUCUACGUCCGUCUCUCAUUACUUCUACUUUUAUAUCCUUGCUCUCAUCCGAAAGCUUCAGAAACUGUCUGCUUUGUUUGAAG
RNAcentral lists this long non-coding RNA (1074 nucleotides) under Capsicum annuum. RNAcentral's name for it is "long non-coding RNA (CANN_LNC013005)". Lineage: Eukaryota; Viridiplantae; Streptophyta; Magnoliopsida; Solanales; Solanaceae. The record is from RNAcentral.